RNAcentral lists this ribosomal RNA (194 nucleotides) under uncultured beta proteobacterium. Its description in RNAcentral is "partial 16S ribosomal RNA". It matches the Rfam family "Bacterial small subunit ribosomal RNA", at positions 338 to 524 of the family's 1533-position model. The record is from RNAcentral. Lineage: Bacteria; Pseudomonadati; Pseudomonadota; Betaproteobacteria.
CCUACGGGAGGCAGCAGUGGGGGAUAUUGGACAAUGGGCGAAAGCCUGAUCCAGCCAUGCCGCGUGAGUGAAGAAGGCCUUCGGGUUGUAAAGCUCUUUCGGCGGGGAAGAAAUGGCAACGGCUAAUAUCCGUUGUUGAUGACGGUACCCGCAUAAGAAGCACCGGCUAACUACGUGCCAGCAGCCGCGGUAAU